GCAGUCGUCCAGGCGAUCGCUGGUGGCCGGGCGCUCCUGGCUGCUGGAGGAAAGUCCGAACUCCGCAGGGCAGUGCGCCGGGUAACGCCCGGGCGGGGCAACCCGACGGAAAGUGGCACAGAAAAUAUACCGCCGGCGUCGUGCCGGCUGACUCCUCCAAAUGGCCCGGUGCAUGCUGACCGGUGGACGCGCGGGGAGUGAACCGGUACGACGCAGGUAAGGGUGAAAAGGUGCGGUAAGAGCGCACCGCGCUCCCGGUGACGGGAGUGGCAGGCAAAACCCCGCACGGAGCAAGACCAAAUAGGGAGGCGCUCGAGGACGGCCCGUCCGAAGCCUCCGGGUAGGUUGCUCGAGGCCGUCAGCAAUGCCGGUCCCAGAGGAAUGAUCGCCCAUCCGAGCGUCCCGCAAGGGAGGCGAGGGGGACAGAAUUCGGCUUAUCGGGCGACUGUCGCA
RNAcentral lists this RNase P RNA (453 nucleotides) under Acidobacteriota bacterium. RNAcentral describes it as "Acidobacteria bacterium (soil metagenome) RNase P RNA component class A". It matches the Rfam family "Bacterial RNase P class A". From Rfam's summary of the family: Ribonuclease P (RNase P) is a ubiquitous endoribonuclease, found in archaea, bacteria and eukarya as well as chloroplasts and mitochondria. Its best characterised activity is the generation of mature 5'-ends of tRNAs by cleaving the 5'-leader elements of precursor-tRNAs. Cellular RNase Ps are ribonucleoproteins. Lineage: Bacteria; Pseudomonadati; Acidobacteriota. The record is from RNAcentral.